UCCGUAGGCGGGCAAUUAAGUCAGAGGUGAAAUCCCACAGCUCAACUGUGGAACUGCCUUUGAUACUGGUUGUCUUGAGUUACAGUGAGGUAGAUAGAAUAUGUAGUGUAGCGGUGAAAUGCAUAGAUAUUACAUAGAAUACCGAUUGCGAAGGCAGUCUACUAACUGUAUACUGACGCUAAUGGACGAAAGCGUGGGGAGCGAACAGGAUUAGAUACCCUGGUAGUCC
RNAcentral lists this ribosomal RNA (229 nucleotides) under uncultured bacterium. RNAcentral's name for it is "partial 16S ribosomal RNA". It matches the Rfam family "Bacterial small subunit ribosomal RNA", at positions 568 to 796 of the family's 1533-position model. The record is from RNAcentral.